UACGAAGGAUGCAAGCGUUAUCCGGAUUUAUUGGGUUUAAAGGGAGCGUAGGCGGUCUUAUAAGUCAGUGGUGAAAUCUUGUCGCUUAACGACAAACGUGCCAUUGAUACUGUAGGACUUGAGUACAGAUGCCGUUGGCGGAAUGUGUCAUGUAGCGGUGAAAUGCAUAGAUAUGACACAGAACACCGAUUGCGAAGGCAGCUGACGAAACUGUAACUGACGCUGAGGCUCGAAAGCGUGGGGAUCAAACAGG
This 253-nucleotide ribosomal RNA is filed under the name uncultured bacterium. Its description in RNAcentral is "partial 16S ribosomal RNA". It matches the Rfam family "Bacterial small subunit ribosomal RNA", at positions 524 to 776 of the family's 1533-position model. The record is from RNAcentral.